RNAcentral lists this small RNA (3449 nucleotides) under Rattus norvegicus (Norway rat). Its description in RNAcentral is "uncharacterized LOC100911923". The record is from RNAcentral. Lineage: Eukaryota; Metazoa; Chordata; Mammalia; Rodentia; Muridae.
UUAAGUAUGGACUUGAAUAUGACAGUCUUUUCACUGAUGUCCAGGGAAUUUCUACCUUACAGUGCCCGGGGAAUGGGAUCUGGGGCUAGCUUUCUUCCUGAGAAAACCAGUCCUGGCUUUUGGGAUAUGGCUUCUCAUAUCUUGAAAGUACUCUGAUAUUCUGAAAGGAUGGUUGGUUGACACUACUGAGAGUCUACAGGGAGUGUGGGAAGUUACUCUUAGCAAACCUCAUAUUUUGGAAAGACAGAACCCAGGAAAGUUUAAUAAUUCCUGUAGGGACAGGAGUGCAGGCUGAGGUUGUUCACGGGAUGCAGGUGCUGUUCAACUUCUAAGUGCGGGCUGAGUUUAAUUCAACCCCCUUGGCCAGCACAGGCCCAGACAGGGCCUGGCUCUUUCUAGUCACCAAGUUGCCCUGACUCCCUGCCUUCUAGCAGAAUAACAAUUCGGGGGCAAUGUAGCGCUUGCCUUAUCUUCUUUGGGCUAGUUGGAGUUUCAGAGCAAAUACAUUCUUCUCUAGCCGGCUUAGCUUAAAGUCUGUUUACUUGUCCCCAGGAUAGGUGAAUAUUCAGAGGGCUCUGGGAAUGAGACCCAACAAACUGGACUUUGGUCCUCUCUUGCCACCAAUCACUCUGAUUCCUCCAGCUCCUACCUAGGGGAAUGUGUCAGCUAUAGAAGCAAUCUUGGCAUGCAGACUGGGGCAUAUCUCUUUAGGAAACUAGGUGCUGGGCUCAAAGUGAGCUGGGUUUAAGGUUUUAGUCCCCACAGUUUGGGGACACAAGCCAUUCACACAGCCUGCAACUGGGUCAGCACCUAGGAGGCUUUCAAAAACUGGGGCUCAGAUUUGUUCUGACCUCCAAGUAAAAGAAAUAAACAUUCUAGAGAUGCCCUGACACUGAGAUGGUGGAAGAGGGGAAGUUUCCUCAGUGAGCUGUAGAACAAAUGCCCUAGAAACUGCCCCCUGACAAGUAUCCCACUCAACUCCAGGCCGCGAUGGUUCAGGCAGUGGGGGGAUUUUGCAGACAGCAUCCUCCUCUUUGCUCCUCUCCCCCACCCCACCCCAACCCCGCCGUGUAAACACGAGGACUUUCUCGAGAGCCCUGGAGAGCCGCUCUAGUGGCUUCGGGGCCUGAAACCCCAGGCUUGGCUUGUUUGAUGUUUAGCAUCCCAAAGCGGCUCCCCACCCCCGCCCCAGCCUGGGAACCCCGAGCUCCGGGGCCGAAGAGAAGGGGAAGCAGUUCUCUCAGCUGGAGGGCGGUGGAUUGGCUGGGCUUAGAGAAGUGGCGAAAACUACAGGACUCCCCGCCCUGAGCAGGGGAGAAAGGGAUCCCGGAAUGAUGCGGUCAUCCAUGAGGAUAUAGCUGGAGUCCUAAAGGCCAAGAGGCAGACGGGGAAAGAAAUGUCACAAUUUGGGGGAAUACACUGGAGAUAGGGGCCAGGUCGGUGGAAAUAGCUUGGGGCCACCGCGAAAACAAGGUAAGCGGUGUCUGGGUCCAGUUAGUGAGCAUCGAGAACGGCGUCCACGACUGCAGGGCUAUCAGGGCCUCGAGGAGACAGCGCUCCGUGCCACUGCUUAGUGCUUGGCCUUUCAUAGGGACGAACCUGCUUAGGAGUCUUCCAAGAGAUUUUUAAAUCCUCCGAGUCUGGACCUGGAAGCUCCAUUGGCGACGUUUGGAUCUGGCUUCGUAGUCUUUGAUUUCGAAAGCCCAGGAAGAUUCGCAGACUUUCAAGGCCGCACACACCGCAUUGCCGGGAGUCUGGGCGGCGGUGAGGACUGAGAAGCUGUCUCAAGACCUGAGUCUCUUCUCAGGCGAUCCCAGAUAAGAGGAGAGAGAGAGAGCUUUUCUGACUUCCAACUCAUUAGGGACCAGAUUUGCUCUCCAGCACAGCAAAAGGGUCUGCCUGUGACCCUCACCGAACUCACUCUUCACUGCUUUAUAGAGACCAUCAGACUCAGGACAAAUAUUCUAGUUUGGAUGCGCAAUUAAUAAUAAGAAGAUACAGGACAGAGGCGGACUGAAUGGCUCCAAUUCUCAGAAUGUGAAAGCGUAAAUCAGAACCUACUAUUUUGUAAAACCAACUUGGAAAACAAAAUUGUCAGAAGCAAAACAACAACAACAACAACAAUAAAAACCAAACCAACAACAAAACCAAGCAAGUCAGGCUGUUUUACCAAUAAAGGGGGCACUGAAUGGAAUCAGAGAUCUGAUAAGUGCCGGGAAGUUGGACUAAGAGGGACAGGAGACUUCGAAACUUCUCUGAAUACUGCUUUGCUGCUGACUUCCAAGGAGAUCUCACCAGAGCUGAGCUGAAGCCAGGACCAUAGUGUUAUUGACAUUACCCCCAGAGACAUGAAGAAACAUCUGCUGCCCCUAGAUAUGAAACCAACACAGACCAAACCAACUGUCAGUACUGCAAGUGGUCCACCCACCAAAGAGAUGGAACUCAACGUGGUAGAAUAGAAGCUGAGACAUGUGGACUUGACAGACUUGAGACUCGGCUAUUCAUCCCAGCUCUGAGAGCCCAUGCAGCUCAUUGAGCCUUCGCGACUCCUGGUUUUACUUUCAGCAAAAUGGAGAUAUUAAGACAGGUUCCCUUGUGGUCCAGGAGACCUCAAACUCUCUCUGUAGAUGAGGAUAACCUUGAAUUCCUGAUCCUCCUGCUCUCAUCUUUCAAGUAAGAUUAUAGCUCUGGGAUCAGUACACGUCAACCUGAACCCGGAAGAGUUCCAAGUAUCUUUCCCCUUCUCUGUCAGGUUCGUGUUACCCUGAACCUGUGAGCUCAGAAGGAAUUUUCUGGUUUUCGGGAGACGGCAGCCAUUCAUCAUAGCUCUCCACCACUGACUGACUGAGAGUCAAUUAUCAUCAAACAUCCAUCUGCCCAUGAUGCUAAUUAUUCCUACUCCAUGAUUGAGGAUUUGGAGUCGGAGACUCACCUGCAAUAUUUGGAAUACCAGUGGAGAUCCAUAUCAACAUGGAAUUUAUACAGCAGCUGGUGCCAGUCACAGCUAAUGAUGAAACUUCAGCUUAAUAAAAAGACCCCCAACUGAGUACAACCAUCUCGAAGAAAGUGUACUUAUCAAACAGCUUUCAAUCAGUUCAAGAGAGACACCUUAAUUGUGAAGAGCAAGAACCGCACAGCAGUUGUCACCAUGCCAACUUCAGAUCAAUGGCACUUCCACUGCUCUUGGUACAUAUAGCCUUGCCUAUGUCCUUAACUGCACCAACAUCCUUCCUGUUGGGAUGAGAUCUUGUCAGCUGCUAGCGUGUGAUGAUGCCUUCGUUCAUUACAUUACUAUACCCCUUAGCAAAAUUUAAACGUGUAAUGAUAAAGGUCACUACCUUUUCCUUUAAUUAAGACCUCUAUUUCUUGUUACCAGAAACAAGUGCCUAUGACAUUUUGUAUUUUCAGAAAUUAUCCUGUUGAAAUAAAGCUACACAAACAAAAUAAAA